UGUAUGUAGCUAUGUCAAAUUCUCUUUCAUAUACAUACAUGUCUAAACCCCAUGUGUGUAUAUGAUACCUACAUUCUUGUUUAAUUGCACAGGCUGUGGUCAGUUCACAUCUGCUUAACUUUUCAGCCAUCACCUGUCUGUGUUUCUUUUACAUGAGUAAGCUGCUAUGUAAAUAUUCUGCAUAUGCUAUGCUUCUGUCCUCUUCAUUCCAUGUUAAUAUAAUAUACCAGAUCCUCUUUUCUAACUUACACUAGAUGUUCUUCUUAGAAGGAAAGAUAUCUUGGACAUGGGUUAGCCUUACAUUUAUUGACUGACAAAGUGACUGUCUGAAAAAAUUCCUUUACAGGUACUAAGAUUAUAUUCUGCAGUGAACACUACAGAGAGAGAUACAUUAUUUGUUUCAUAAUACUGACUUGGCUUGGUACAUAACCUCCCCUCACUUCAUCUAAUCUAUAUUAUGUGUUCGUAUUUCAUGUAUAGGUAUAUGUCUUGUGUAAAUAUGUUAGCCAUAAUCUGAUUUCUAAUGUAGGUACAUAGAGUAAGUUAAAAUUAUGCUUAAUUUAUUUUAUUAGUAGAUUAAUUUGGGGAAAUGUAUGCCCUAUAUCAUGUGGCAACUAUUUUCCUUAAUGCUAUUAGAGAUCUUAACAAUAAAGAUUACAGUGGUCACCUUCUUAUGAGUUCUUUUCUUUCCUUUUUUAUUUUCAGUGCUUAGGAAGGAACCCAGGUCCCCAUCAUGCUAGACAAAUGCUCUGCCACUGAGCUACACUUCCCCAGAGUUGUUUUUUAAUAGGUCAGUGUUUCACUAAUUUUUCUUUACAUGCCAGAAUACAAUAUCACAGCAGAAUAAAAGACAAUGAAACAUAAUUUUAAAAGCUGUGGAGUUGGGCUUUUUAUUCUCUCUCUUCUUCCCCUGUCCCCCAAAGGGAAUAAACCAGAUAUUUUUUAUCUUUGAAGUAUUUUUUUAAUAAGUGGAAGCACUCUGUGUGAUUUUUCUCAGCAGUUAAGAACUAUUUGGAGUUACGUGAGAACAUUGUGGCACGUAGUUUUUAUGGGUGUUAGGGAACUGAUAGCACUGUACCUUUCAUUAUAGGAGAAAGAAGAUCCCCUAGAGUUCUCUGCCAGUAAAGACUCCAAAGAAUUACCUCAUCAUGGCCCACAGUGGUGGGGCUACGGGGCCAGGUUCAGGCAAAAAUUUAAGACAGGGGAAGUGAAUAAAUGUCAAAAUAAAGGAAGUAAAACUACAUACCCAAGCUAAAGAAAACAUGCACCCCAGCUAUGGAAUUCUGAGACAUAACUCCAUUUUGGCCUCUGCUCACAACUGAGACCUCAACGAUCCAGUGAUGUUGUGACUCUCCAGGACAAGAAACAUCCUGGGAGCUGAAAACAUCCUGCGAAGAACAAACAUCUACUCAGUUCCUCCUUGUUCUUGGAUUGUUACAUCUUAUUUACACAGGCUGUACUGAACUCUCUGCAAGUCAUUUGUUACAUUUGUUUCUCCCAAUGUACUGAAUAAAAGGUGUGGUAAGCUGGGGUCUUUCGUUUUUGCUGCCCAGAGCAGCAGUGAUCAGACCCAAAGCUCAGCCUCUCAGUCUCAUUUUUCUACAUUUCCUGUAAUUUGCCGUGUGCUGCCGUGGCUCACAGGAGACUAGGACUUACUGCAGAGGUUCUAGUAACGUCCCCUUUCCCUGUUCCCUACAGUAGCUGAAAAGGAGUGGGCUCCAGGAAGGUUUACAAGAGGGCUUAGUUUGCAGAGUCCUUUGAGUGUCCAUCAAGGAGUAUUGGGGGGGGUCACCCUGUGGCAUAUGUGUGAUCACUAGACCAUUGACAGUCACAUGUAGUGCAAUAAAUUGCAUGGUGUGUCAUCAAGGCACUGCUGUGAUAGUAUAGUAUUCAUGAGCACAGCUUUUUAGGGUGACCAGCAAUAAAGUCAAACCAUCUCUACUGAUCAGGACAUAUUCAUUAAGUAAUUUCUCAUUUUAAACCCUAAGUACUCACUUUUAACCCAUUAGAAGAAAAAUAAAAGCAAUGAGGAAAGUUUCAGAAUGCUAAAAAGAAGAUGGAAAAGGUAGAAAAGUGAAAAAAAUAUAAACAAAACAAAAUGUAAGGGAAAGCAAUGUUCAACAAAAUACAUACACAUUCAGAUUAGACUCAAAUUCAGCCAUAGUACUUUUUGUUUCUAUCUAGCAGAAAACAAAUACUUUAUUUUUUUGCUUUCAUUUUAUAACCCUUAAAGUUCCUUAAUUCAACUAGGGCACACAUACACAAAGCCACCAGAACAAGGAUCACUUAAAGAGCUGGAUGUAGAAAAUACUAUUGCAGUAUGCUACAAAUAUGGAACCCUGUUAUAUGAGCUACAAAAAGCAGCAUUUGCCUUUAUAGAGUUGAGUGCAAUUUGUACAUUAAAAAAUUCUAUAAAUGAAGGGAACACCAACACAACAGAAGAUAUGCCCAUCACAGGCACCCGCCCUGGGAAGCGCGGGCAGUGGUCACCGACCGGGCAGGAGGACUGUUUCCCGGGGCCACGCGGAGGCCUCUUCUGGGCGAGGGACUGAGUCCCACCUGGUUCCAGGUCAGAUUUCCUUCCCACCUCACCUGGGCAACGUGUCACUGAGGACAGGGAAGACACUGCCCACAGGCUGCGGAGUGGGAGCAGCAGGGCAUCGGGAACGCAGGAGUGCAUGGCGUGGGACCUUUCGGGGCCCAGAGACAAGGAGAGUGUCUUGAGGCCGGAAGAGGAGAGGAGCGCAGGAUAGAAAAUAGAGGCAAGAGGGGCCCAUGUGGAGGUGACGACCUGGAGGUGCGGGCAGCACUGACAGGAGCUCCCUAGCCCAGGGACACAGGAGAGGAGGACAGCAGAAGGAGGAAGGGAUCCCCGAUAGUAAACCCAAAGCCAGCCUCACUCCCAGCCCAUCCCUGCGAGCCAAAGCUCGACUCUUUGGCUCCCAGACAGUGGACCCUGCACGCCCAGUGUGCGCAGGCUGGCACUCUUGGCUGCACACCCCGAGGGAGGAACCGCGGGGCGCCUGCCCUAGCCGGGGAGACUCCCACGCCCUGACUUCUGUGGCUUGGCUGGGGGGGGGGGGGGGGGGAGGUGCUGCGGGUGGAGGUGCAGGGCAGUGGUAGCUGCCGCUGCAGGCCCAGGAGCGAGCAGGGUCGGGUAGAGGGCAGCGUGCAGGACAGCAUGGAAGGUGAAGGGCCUGGGGUGGAUGGCAGAGGCGGGGAUGAUGUGGAUGGGGUGACUGGCGAGGAAGGUGGCCGGGUGGCCGGGGAUGAUGGAGUGAGGUGCGACAGGGAGAUGGGCGUCAGGUGGGGCUGGGGGAUGUGGUGCACGUGGGCCGGGGGCUGUGGGUGGGCGUGGGGGUGGAUGCCAAUGGUGGCAGUGGCGGCCAGGUGGUGCUGCAGGAUGGCGUGCUGCACCCAGGUAAUGCAGGUGGCCGAAGUCGCGGCGAGAUGGCGCAGGUGGAUGGGCUGCAGGGCAGAGGUGGCGGGGGGCAAGGGCAGCCGAGGCAGAGAAGGCCUUCACUUGCUUGGCCAGCAGCUGUUGUUGGAUGUGCUGCGUUGCGGCCUGCUGGAGCUUGCUGGACUUCUUCAUCUCCUCGAGCUUGAAGGUGAUGGGCUGGCAAUCCAGGGGAGCCAGCAAGGCGUCCUCUGCCCCCUUGGGGACUCCAUGCGGGGCUUGGACAAUCUCCCAGGGGGAGGGCCGAGGCUCGAGGCCUGAGGCCCGCAGGCUCCCUUACCCGUGCAGCUGGAACACUGGACUGUAUGCUUUCCUCCUGGUCAGCUCUGUGAGUAGUGUGAGGCCCUUGACUGCACAGGCACCUGCCCCAGAAAGUGGGUGUCGCCAUUGGCUGAGAGGGCGGGGCCUGCAGGCAGUGGGCCUGUCAGUUGGAGUCCGGCCUUGAUCAGCGCAAGGUCCAGUUACCAGAACUGGAUGGGGAGGGUUAGUCACUGUG
This 3953-nucleotide long non-coding RNA is filed under the name Heterocephalus glaber (naked mole-rat). Its description in RNAcentral is "lncRNA (ENSHGLG00100039496.1)". The record is from RNAcentral. Lineage: Eukaryota; Metazoa; Chordata; Mammalia; Rodentia; Bathyergidae.